This 473-nucleotide ribosomal RNA is filed under the name uncultured bacterium. Its description in RNAcentral is "partial 16S ribosomal RNA". It matches the Rfam family "Bacterial small subunit ribosomal RNA", at positions 328 to 794 of the family's 1533-position model. The record is from RNAcentral.
AAGCCAGACUCCUACGGGAGGCAGCAGUGGGGAAUAUUGCGCAAUGGGCGAAAGCCUGACGCAGCGACGCCGCGUGAGGGAUGAAGGUCUUCGGAUCGUAAACCUCUGUCAGCAGGGAAGAACGGUCACUGUGCUAAUCAGCAGUGAAUUGACGGUACCUGCAAAGGAAGCACCGGCUAACUCCGUGCCAGCAGCCGCGGUAAUACGGAGGAUGCGAGCGUUAUCCGGAUUUAUUGGGUUUAAAGGGUGCGGAGGCGGAUUUUUAAGUCAGGGGUAAAAUGUCCGGGCUCAACCCGGGCCGGCCGUUGAAACUGGGGAUCUUGAGUGGGCGAGAAGUAUGCGGAAUGCGUGGUGUAGCGGUGAAAUGCAUAGAUAUCGCGCAGAACCCCGAUUGCGAAGGCAGCGUGCCGUGCCGCCACUGACGCUGAGGCACGAAAGCGCGGGGAUCGAACAGGAUUAGAUACCCGAGUAAU